UACGUAGGUGGCAAGCGUUGUCCGGAUUUAUUGGGCGUAAAGCGAGCGCAGGCGGAAAGAUAAGUCUGAUGUGAAAGCCCCCGGCUUAACCGAGGAAUUGCAUCGGAAACUGUGUUUCUUGAGUGCAGAAGAGGAGAGUGGAACUCCAUGUGUAGCGGUGGAAUGCGUAGAUAUAUGGAAGAACACCAGUGGCGAAGGCGGCUUCCUGGUCUGCAACUGACACUGAGGCGCGAAAGCGUGGGGAGCAAACAGG
RNAcentral lists this ribosomal RNA (253 nucleotides) under uncultured Lactobacillus sp. Its description in RNAcentral is "partial 16S ribosomal RNA". It matches the Rfam family "Bacterial small subunit ribosomal RNA", at positions 524 to 776 of the family's 1533-position model. Lineage: Bacteria; Bacillati; Bacillota; Bacilli; Lactobacillales; Lactobacillaceae. The record is from RNAcentral.